This 504-nucleotide ribosomal RNA is filed under the name Triticum aestivum (bread wheat). Its description in RNAcentral is "partial small subunit ribosomal RNA". The record is from RNAcentral. Lineage: Eukaryota; Viridiplantae; Streptophyta; Magnoliopsida; Poales; Poaceae.
AUGAGCCUAUCGGGGCCGUCCUACUGGAGCCUCUGCUACACCCGAAACGAGAAACAAAUUAUUCUCGAUCGUUUGGCUGCUGGCCACAGAGCACUUCGCCCCACAGCGCAUACCCUUCCUCCAUCUCUCACCACUCUCUCUCUCUCUCUCUCUCUGUCAAGUGUGCACGGAGAUCAUGGACAAUCCUCCGGCCGCGGCGGCGGCCGCCGCCAACAACGUGGCCAAUCCUCCGGCAGUGGCAGCGGCGGCCAACAACGUGGCCAAUCCUCCGGCGGCGGCACCUGCGGCUGCUCCAGCAGCGAAUGCCGCCGCCGCAGCGCGCGCCGCGCGGCACACCGCCUGGAAGAAGAAGGACAAGAAGGUUGCAAUCAUAUCUCUAGUCGUUCUGGCGAUCGUCCUGGUUCUGAUUGCGGUGCUGUGCCUCCAACCCUGGAAAAAGUAGAGAGCGUGGCGUGCUCUGAGUGCUUCUGUGGGAUCGAGGGACCUGAUCGUGUGCGUGGUUAA